AUUGAACGCUGGCGGCAGGCCUAACACAUGCAAGUCGAGCGAGCGGCGGACGGGUGAGUAAUGUAUGGGGAUCUGCCUGAUGGAGGGGGAUAACUACUGGAAACGGUGGCUAAUACCGCAUACCAUCAGAUGGACCCAUAUGGGAUUAGCUUGUAGGUGUGGUAACGGCUCACAUAGGCGACGAUCCCUAGCUGGCCUGAGAGGAUGAUCAGCCACACUGGGACUGAGACACGGCCCAGACUCCUACGGGAGGCAGCAGUGGGGAAUAUUGCACAAUGGACGAAAGCCUGAUGCAGCAAUGCCGCGUGUAUGAAGAAGGCCUUCGGGUUGUAAAGUACUUUCAGUCGGGAGGCGUUACCGACAGAAGAAGCACCGGCUAACUCCGUGCCAGCAGCCGCGGUAAUUC
RNAcentral lists this ribosomal RNA (406 nucleotides) under uncultured bacterium. Its description in RNAcentral is "partial 16S ribosomal RNA". It matches the Rfam family "Bacterial small subunit ribosomal RNA", at positions 30 to 526 of the family's 1533-position model. The record is from RNAcentral.